This is a long non-coding RNA of Monodelphis domestica (gray short-tailed opossum), 4160 nucleotides long. RefSeq lists it as uncharacterized. Lineage: Eukaryota; Metazoa; Chordata; Mammalia; Didelphimorphia; Didelphidae. The record is from RefSeq and is a predicted model, not a curated record.
GAAGCUUUUGGAGGAGAGUGGAGAUUUUCCAUCUUUCUACAAGAUUUCUGGCCCUUUGGAAGAUAUCAGCUUGAGUGAGAGAAAAUCUGCUUGGACUGCCUGCAAGCAGCUGGACAGAAGGCCAAAGAAGAACUAUCACUUCUCUGCUGGACCUACUUUGGCCACUUCUUCUGGGAUCUUGGCUCAUAUACUGUACUCUAUUUUGUGAGAUUGUGUUUGGGGAAACUUAAUUUAUUUAGCAUAGAUAAGUUAGCCAUUAAGAUAGUUUUAAGGGACUUGGGGGGUUAAGAUCAAGACCCUUCCCUUAUCCUUUUACUCUCCUUCCUCUCAAUCUUCCCAUCAAUAAACUUUAAAAUAUUUAGAUGUUUACUUCUUGUUUCUUCCCCUUAACAAUCCCACCAUACCAGUUUAAAUCUAUGAGCCUGUAGAGGAGAUGUUAUUAUUCUCAUUUCAGAAAUGAAGAAACAAGCUAAGAGAGUAAAUGAUCUGCCCAGAAUCACAGAGUUAGUUAAUAUGUCUUCCUGACUCCUGAUCCAGCAUCCUAUUUACCAUGCCAACAGGAAUAGAUGGGAAAUAAAUAUAAAGAAAAUAAUGCAAAUUCUUUUGUAUCCUUACCCCUUCUUCUUAGACUCUUUUUGAAAAUUUGCAUGAGGCACAAAGGUUUUAUCUGAAUGAAUUAGAAAUGCAUCCAUUUAGUACAACUCUCAAGGUUCAUCAUGACAUGAAAAUAAGUAAACCAAGGUUCUAGGAAACUAUUCCAUGAAGCUCAAGCAUGGACUGUUUAUAUCUUUUGUUGGAAGAUAAGCCUAGUAGAUUUGGGUAAGAUGCAUUGCCAGAAUGUUGGCGAUCAGGUAAUGAUAUUUCUGUUUGUUUGUUUAUAGCAACUCAUUAAACUGUUUAUUCAGACAUGAAGGAGAUGUGGUCUGCAUCAGUGAAUACAAUAUUCCAUACCAAUGGAAUUAUGGAAUCUUUAAAGUAUUAAAGUUAUUGGAAAGUCUGACUUUUUGAAGAAAAAUUCCAAGAGUGAAGACUAAUUUCAUCCAGAAAACCAACAACAACCACCCUGCUGGAGUUCAACUAGAACAAAGAUUGGGACCUUGGCUCCCACUAGAAACAUCCAAGUUGACUUCGGGGUAAACAUGGAUACAAUCUAGACGUGACUCGCUUUCCCUCCCAAGCACUAAAGGAAAUAGACUACCUCAAAAGAGCAUAAAAAUCAUCUUUGGAAGAAUGGAGGGACUCUCCAGUACCCCACAGAAAUGAAGAGGAGGGCUUGUAGGAACUGGAACAAGGGCGAAGGAAGUCUCACAACUGAUGUCCUCUUGGGUCUGGAGAAGUCGCAGUAGAAAAUCAGCAGCAGGAGCUCACAGGAUCAGGAAGGGAAGAAAUGGCUUCACCCACACAGUCCACCUGGGUGGAGUGUUACCACUCUCUCUACCACUUCCAGAAGAUGAUUUUGAUUGAAGUAAAGUCCCAGUCUCCUGGUAGCUUCAAAAUGUCCUUCUUCAGAGAGCAAUUCCACUAACUUUUCUCCAGAGAGAAAGUCUCCUCUGCAUUCCAGAAUUUUCUCUCUCUGCCUCUGUACUCCCUGCUUUCAGCUUGCUCCUGCUAAAAUCCCUUACAAGUUGUAUGGAUGUGGAUCAAAACAUACUUUCUUUUACAUCCAUGUAUUCACAGUUUUAUUUAGGGGGUUUGGUUCUAUACGUGUGUUCUUACAACAAAGACAAACAUGGAAAUGUUUUGCUUGAUAAUACAUGUAUGGUCCAGAUCAAAUUGCUUACUAUCUCUGAGUGAGUGAAAGGAAAAGAGAGAGGGAAAUGGUUUGCAUCUCAUAAUUUUGGAAAACUUAUGUUUAAAAUUAUUAUUACAUAUAAUUCAGAAAAUAAAAUAUCUUUGAAUUAAAAAAUAAAAGAACUAAAGACUGAAAAUGGCAGGUAAACAAAAGCAACAGCCUAGCCUACAAAGUUGGAGAGGAUUUGAGCAUGUAUCUAAUGUGAGUAUUGUCUAAAGAUCAUAAUCCCCAAGUUCAGAAAUGUCCAUCAAGAGAAGUUUGGUUACCAGAUGAGUAGGUUUUGUGGUAGUUGUUUUGUUUUGUUUUUCCUACUCCUCACAAAGACAACUAAGUCUUGUGCUGUGUCUCAGUGGAGAUAAUACCCAAACCAAUGAAUCCAAAACACUUUUGAAAUAUAAGAAAAAUAAUUAAAAAUAAAACCUUUUAUUAUUCAUUUCCCACUUGAAACACCUUUCUAUCUCAUUUUCUCCACUCUUACAGCCACAACCCUUAUACAGAAGUUCAACACCUCUUGUGGGGAUUGUUGCAAGACUUCUAACUAGUCUCUCCUCUCAAGUGUCUCCCCUCUCCAGUCCAUUUUCCAAAUUCAGCUGCCAAAGUGGUUUUUCUAAAGUACAAGUUUCACUGUGUCACCCCAUCCCUGUUACUCAUUAAACUAACAGUGGCUCCCUAGUAUUUCCAAGAUCAAAUAGAAAGUAUUUGGGUUUAGCAUUUAAAGCCCAUCACAACCUUGCUCCUUCCGAGCUUUUAAAUCUCCUUAUACUUGACUUCCCUCCAUAUAUACCCUCAUAGUAGUUGCACUCCCAUCCUCAUCCCUUACCCUGCCUCCUAGAUUCCUUGGUUUCUCACUCAAUUUAAAUCUCACCGUUUUCAGUAGACAUUCCUGGUUUUCACAGCUGCUAAUCCCUUUCCCCCUCGGAUUACUUUCCAUUUGCUCAGGAUCUUUUGUAAACACCAUUACCCAUUUAAAGUAUCAAGAUACCAUGUAUCUUGAUACAUUUAUCAGAUGAGAAUACAUCUUAUUCCCAAAAUAUGAACAAAGCCUCAGUAACAAAUUGAAAGGAAAUAUUCUGAUUUUGUGUAACAGGAAGUCUUUUAUGAUUAGAUGAGGGACUUAUUCACAGCCUGAAGAGCUUGUACAUAACGAGGACCUAGUUCAGAGCUCAGGAGAGAUUUCAAGGGGCUGACAGUGAAGAGGAUGGAACAGGGACUUCAAAAGCUGAAGAAGGAAGAAUUAACAACACAGAGGCAACCAGGCAUAGUAGAAAGAGAAAGGAAUACUUCACUAUGGCAGAGAAGGCAGGAGUCAGGUCAGUCUAUAAACUCUACAGGUAUCUCAAAGCAAAAGACUUCAGCAAUUGUUGCCUCCAAUUCUGCCCUCUCUUCCUUGAGGCCUGAGGAAAGUUUUUUAAAAAUAUACUCUUCUCCCAAAUGCUAGGGUUGUUUACCCAAACAUUUCUAAUAACCCGAACUUAGCCUCCAACAUAAUGAUGCCAAAGGUUAGCAAGAGAUAAACAUAAAUGUAAAUUAAGGCAGAAAGCCAAACCUUUGCUUAAAUUGUUAGAAAUUUUCCUAACUGGGGGCUCAGAGAGUUUGUUGUGGUGAUCCUAAGUUUUAGUUUAAUAGAAAUUAUCUAAGACAAUGGCAUAAGAAACCUUAAGGAUUAAAAGAGCCACUGUUGCACAGGCUUAAAAUGAGAUAAUUAUUCUAUUGGAGUGUUACAUAUCUACCUAGUUAUUGUUGUCUUUCCCAUAAGAAUAGAAGUUCUUUGAAGGCAAAAACCAUUUUGCUCUUCUUUUUUACCCCUAAUGCUUAGCUCAUUCCCUGGCACAUAGUAAGCAUGUAAUAAAUGAUUAUUGACUAAACAAUUAUUGACUAACCUAAGCUGAUAACUUAUAUCUUCAUGAGUUGUUGUGACUAAAGAAAAUUCAUUACCUAAUAGCAAGUCUUUCAGUAAUGAACCCCUUUGAAUUCCUCUGAACUAAACUGAUGCUAGAAAUAAAGAUAUUUUAGUCCUUUUUGAGAGCUAAUUCCCAAAGUUUUUUUUUUUUAUCACUGUUAAGACUUACAUAGCUAACAUAGUUGACAGUAUAGCCUCUUUCUUCAAAGAAAAAACAAACUCAAAAGUCUCUACCUAACUUGUGAGUCAGUAUUUUCAUACAAAACAGUGGGGUAGGAGGUGUUGGAAAUGGCAACUGGACUAGGCCAAAUGUGAAAUAUCAAUUAGAUUGAUCUCAUCAGGUGUCACUAUGAAAUUUGAUAGGCAAAUGGGGAUUAAAAUUUUAAAAAAGAUUGUUGGUCUUACACAGGGGGCAGAAAAUCAUGAAUGGUUUCAGGGCAGAAAAUGUUGAAGCCAUUGAGAAACCAA